Molecule: unclassified non-coding RNA, 355 nt
Filed under: fungal sp.
Lineage: Eukaryota; Fungi
Description: partial internal transcribed spacer region
Rfam family: Eukaryotic small subunit ribosomal RNA (bases 1-46)
Source: RNAcentral
AAGUCGUAACAAGGUUUCCGUAGGUGAACCUGCGGAAGGAUCAUUAACACUUUUUCUUUGAGUUUUUCUCAGCAUGUGCGCACAGUAGGAACUCGUUUGCCAUAGAUCGACGCGUUAUGAUUGGAAGCUCGAAAGGGCUUGGCGCGCCGGUAAUUUGGCUGACGGGGAAUAAAACUCAGUCUCUAAUCAUGGCUGGAAUUUUUUUUUACUUGAUUUUCGAACUGAUUUUAGGCAACGAUCGAGACCCUCUCUCUCUCCAGAGCGGGCCUCUCUGCGCCUCUGAUGAAUUUUUCUUCUUAGAAAAAUCUCUUCAACAUUAAACACAACUCUUAACAGCGGAUAUCUCGGUUCUCGU